Chionomys nivalis (European snow vole) is the source of this 483-nucleotide long non-coding RNA. RefSeq lists it as uncharacterized. The transcript has 3 exons. NCBI's taxonomy places the organism in Eukaryota, Metazoa, Chordata, Mammalia, Rodentia, Cricetidae. The record is from RefSeq and is a predicted model, not a curated record.
GAAAAAUCAAACAGUUCACGGAGCAAAGUUACAGGAGGCCCAAGAGCACAGACCAAGACAGAUGGAUGCUUCUGCCUCUCAGAUGGGAAAACAAGAAUAAAUGGAGAAUGAUGAGAGCAUUGCUGUCUGUGGCCCAGCUGACUCAGAAAAGCCAGAGCCUGUUCCUCCAACAAGACUUGGCAAAUGGAGAACUCAUUUAUAUAAUGAAGACUCCAGGAACAGAGAAGUGAGACUUGGGAGCCAAGCAAUGUGUUGAGUUGAGGAACCCUGCCACCUUGUGUGAGGUUUUGAUAGGAGACACGGGAGCAUCUUCACUGGCUCCUGACCAUGAAUACCCAACUUGGGAACUCCAACAAUAAGCAUUGCUCCUGCCAAGAAAAGCUGGCUGACAUCCUGGAAGGUGUGCUGGAGUUGGGAUUCCCACUGCAGAUAGAAAUAUGGUUUAGCAUCUGGGGUGUUUUAAGCUGAAGUGGAGAGAGGAAA